Small nucleolar RNA from Sceloporus undulatus (fence lizard), 134 nucleotides. Lineage: Eukaryota; Metazoa; Chordata; Lepidosauria; Squamata; Phrynosomatidae. The record is from RefSeq and is a predicted model, not a curated record.
UUCCAAAGUGUUGAGUUCAGUUCAGGGUAGCUUCCCCUGUUCUGGUAAUUAAACUUUGGGACAUUAAAUAGUUGGAAGAUGUCAAAGGUGGGAACUUUUACUUUUCUGUCCUUACUUCUUUCCAACCCACAAAA